Molecule: long non-coding RNA, 720 nt
Organism: Oncorhynchus tshawytscha (Chinook salmon)
Lineage: Eukaryota; Metazoa; Chordata; Actinopteri; Salmoniformes; Salmonidae
Source: Ensembl
CUAGAUUUCAGUCUUGGUUCGAUGUGGCACUUACUGAUUUUUGUUUCCAUGAGAUGCCAUAGCAACAAAGGAGGACGCACAGGACAUUCUCCAAACACCCAACAGGGCCGACAUCCCCGUUAUUUGCAAGAGGAAGCGACGCAGGUAUAGAGGGUACAGGUUGCUGUCCUUCUCGGCAGAAUAUGUCCAGCAAGCCAGCAAAGUAUGGCAUCAAUAUAUGGGUGGCCUGUGAUGCACAAUCCAGCUACACUUGGAGAUGCAAGUCUACACAUGGAAGCCGACCAGUGGAGGCCCAGAGAAGAACUUGAUGUGACAGAUGGACUGAGGGGGCACAAUGUCACGUAUGACAAUUUCUUCACCACUUAUGAACUCAGCCAGCAGCUCCUGAAGAGGAAGAUCACCAUGGUUGGCAUGGCUGAGCUCCCCCCUGCACUCCUCGCAACAAGGGGGAGAGAGGCCUUCUCAUCAAAGUUUGCCUUCACCUCCACCACCACUCUAGUUUCUACCUCCCAAAGAGGAACAAGAAUGUGGUGCUCCUGAGAACACUGCACAAAACGGCUGAGAUCAGUAAUCGUGAGGACAGGAAGCUAGCCAUCAUUUUGGAUUACAACCACAACAAAGGAGGCGUGGGCAAGCUGAUUGGAACUUACAGCUGCAGGAGGAUGACUGCCCGCUGGCCCCUGGUCAUCUUCCAUAACAUCAUGGAUGUGUACUCAUUCA